This 376-nucleotide unclassified non-coding RNA is filed under the name soil metagenome. RNAcentral's name for it is "partial contains 5.8S ribosomal RNA, internal transcribed spacer 2, and large subunit ribosomal RNA". The stretch from base 1 to 120 matches the Rfam family "5.8S ribosomal RNA", at positions 35 to 154 of the family's 154-position model. The record is from RNAcentral.
GAUGAAGAACGUAGCGAAAUGCGAUAAGUAAUGUGAAUUGCAGAAUUCAGUGAAUCAUCGAAUCUUUGAACGCACCUUGCACCCUUUGGCAUUCCGAAGGGUAUGCUCGUUUGAGUGUCAUUGUACUCUCACACUCCCGAUCUUUGGAUUGGGAGCGGUGGACUUGGGUUUGCUGCUUGCCGUGGCUCACCUCAAAUGGAUUAGUGCAACUCUUGGUUGACCAUAGUACGGCGUGAUAAGUGUCUUCGCCGGCACCUCACUGGGUGGGCCGAUCGGGAGCUCUGUGCUUCAAACCGUCUUCGGACAAUCUUUGACAACUUGACCUCAAAUCGAGUAGGACUACCCGCUGAACUUAAGCAUAUCAAUAAGCGGAGGA